AGAGUUAGCCGGUGCUUCUUCUGUGAGUGAUGUCCUUCCUGCCGGCUAUUAACCCGCAGGCCUUCUUCCUCACUGAAAGUGCUUUACAACCCGAAGGCCUUCUUCACACACGCGGCAUGGCUGGAUCAGGGUUGCCCCCAUUGUCCAAUAUUCCCCACUGCUGCCUCCCGUAGGAGUCUGGGCCGUGUCUCAGUCCCAGUGUGGCUGAUCAUCCUCUCAGACCAGCUACGGAUCGUCGCCUUGGUGAGCCGUUACCUCACCAACCAGCUAAUCCGACAUAGGCUCAUCCGAUAGCGCGAGGCCCGAAGGUCCCCCGCUUUCCCCCGUAGGGCGUAUGCGGUAUUAGCCUGGGUUUCCCCAGGUUAUCCCCCACUACCGGGCAGAUUCCUAUGCAUUACUCACCCGUCCGCCGCUCGCCACCAGGGAGCAAGCUCCCCGUGCUGCCGCUCGACUUGCAUGUGUAGCNCGCCGCCACGCGUCAUCUGAACCAACGAUACAACUUACUCGA
RNAcentral lists this ribosomal RNA (508 nucleotides) under uncultured bacterium. RNAcentral's name for it is "partial 16S ribosomal RNA". The record is from RNAcentral.